RNAcentral lists this transfer RNA (67 nucleotides) under Astroblepus sp. NM-2010. RNAcentral describes it as "tRNA-Ser (AGY)". Lineage: Eukaryota; Metazoa; Chordata; Actinopteri; Siluriformes; Astroblepidae. The record is from RNAcentral.
GAGAGAGGUAUGAUACAAUAAGGACUGCUAAUUCUUACAACCACAGUUAAAUCCCGUGGCUCACUCA